GAUGAACGCUGGCGGCGUGCCUAAUACAUGCAAGUCGAGCGAACAGACGAGGAGCUUGCUCCUCUGACGUUAGCGGCGGACGGGUGAGUAACACGUGGAUAACCUACCUAUAAGACUGGGAUAACUUCGGGAAACCGGAGCUAAUACCGGAUAAUAUAUUGAACCGCAUGGUUCAAUAGUGAAAGACGGUUUUGCUGUCACUUAUAGAUGGAUCCGCGCCGCAUUAUCUAGUUGGUAAGGUAACGGCUUACCAAGGCAACGAUGCGUAGCCGACCUGAGAGGGUGAUCGGCCACGCUGGAACUGAGACACGGUCCAGACUCCUACGGGAGGCAGCAGUAGGGAAUCUUCCGCAAUGGGCGAAAGCCUGACGGAGCAACGCCGCGUGAGUGAUGAAGGGCUUCGGAUCGUAAAACUCUGUUAUUAGGGAAGAACAAAUGUGUAAGUAACUAUGCACGUCUGGACGGUACCUAAGCAGAAAGCCACGGCUAACUACGU
RNAcentral lists this ribosomal RNA (496 nucleotides) under uncultured bacterium. RNAcentral's name for it is "partial 16S ribosomal RNA". It matches the Rfam family "Bacterial small subunit ribosomal RNA", at positions 28 to 506 of the family's 1533-position model. The record is from RNAcentral.